AGUAAAUUGGCUGAAGUAUAAGCAAUAAAUUGUAAAUUUAUUUAUAAGAAUUAUCUUAUUUACUA
Molecule: transfer RNA, 65 nt
Filed under: Anabolia furcata
Lineage: Eukaryota; Metazoa; Arthropoda; Insecta; Trichoptera; Limnephilidae
Description: tRNA-Tyr
Source: RNAcentral